AGCGAGGGAUGCUCCAAGGUCUGCCCUGUACAUUGAUGAGCCUAUGGCAGGGCAAGUUGGAUGACUGUCAUGAGCUGGGCAAGGACACAGCAUUGAGGACAUGGCAAGGACCCAGCAGCAGGGACAUGGGCACAAGCGUGUGGGUGCCCCAGCUCUCACUCCCCCUCAACAAAACCCUCUGUGCCCCAAGGUGCAGCUGCUGGCGUGACCACUCAGGAUAUCGGAAGCUCCCCAGGCAAUGUGGUGAGUUCUCCAGCAAGUCCAUCACCCUCAGCUCCAAAUUCCCGGAUCCCACACACCCUCGCCACAGCCAUGGCGCUGGCAUUGGCGGCCGUUGGCCUCGUCGUCCUGGCUGCAGGCAGCUGGUUUGCCAUUAGGAAAGGUGCCUGCAGAGGGAGAUAUCCAAGGCAGCAGCACGUUGACAGCCCACAGAUGGAAACCACAGACAACGGCGAAGUCACAUGUGAGUACUGCCUCCCUCGGGGGAAGCCAUAUACCUGUCUGUGGUGGAAUCCCAGCACUUCAUGUUCUACUGGGACAUACAAAAUCCCUGCCUGUUCAUCAAGGCCAGGUUUCUCUCCAGCACUUCAUGUCCUGCUUCUUCCUUGCAUGCAGAGCGCGGCUGCUGGCUGCACAAGGGACAUGGCAGCAUCCCAGUGCUCCCAGGGACAAAGCCCAUUUGCUUGGGGGUUCCUUCCAUACCAGCUCCGGCCUCAGGCAGCAUUUCCCCUGCUUCAGCCUCUGCUUUUGUCCUUUCUUCAGUUUCUCUUCAGUGUCAUUUCUGCUUCAAGAACAACACAAAGCACAUCACAGCAACGAAAGAUGUGGCUCUGUUUCCUUUCCUUGCUGGGGAAAAUAUUUUAGAUCUUGCUCUGAAAGCAUAGGCAGCAGCCAAGGGAGGAUGUUGUGGUUGGGCGUCAGGCUACAGAUAUAUACCUACCUGACAUGCACGUAGCUUGAGUUGCAGCAUGACCUUUUUUACCCACUCCUGCACAGCGCAUUUUGCAAGGUGUGCUGGCUGUGCAAAGAGAGGCGACGCCACAGAAAGCUGGAAAUACACCAAAACCUCAGCAUCUCUGCUCCACUGCUGCUUAAUGCGUAUCACAGAUCAGGGUGAUGGGAGGGGAAAUGUGGUCAGGCGUUGAGAGCUGACCUCAGGCAGCUGAUGUCCAAAGCUCAAGGGGGUUCACCCCCUUUCAAUCAGCAAGGGCUCAUGGUGUGUUUUUUCCCCACAGACUCAACCAUCGCUCAUGUUCGACGGGACAGGGUGAGUCGUGGCACAGCUGUGCACAGCUCCUUUCUGCACUCCUGCAGCCUGGUGCCCGGUCAUUGUGCAGGGCUCACAGUCAGCAGCUGAAGUAACAGGGUUUCUUUUCUCCCUAAAGCCUCGUCCUGUGCAGCACAUGAGCGACACCACGACGUAUGCCACGGUGACCCGAACUCAGACCCGAUAGCGCUGCCACAGGGCAAGGGCACAGGAGCCUUGACCACGGCUGCCUUUACUCUUUUGUAGGGGGCUCUUGAAGCCAUAUCAUGGGGCUGGGGGGUGCACUUUGGGGUUCUCUGGGGUUUUCUGUCACAGGAAAUGCUGUGUGUAUCUAGCCAAGAGGAUGAAGGACUCAUAUCUCAGUUUGCAAUAAAUUAAUACCUCUAAAAUAUAUCA
RNAcentral lists this long non-coding RNA (1663 nucleotides) under Anas platyrhynchos platyrhynchos (common mallard). Its description in RNAcentral is "lncRNA (ENSAPLG00000022839.1)". The record is from RNAcentral. Lineage: Eukaryota; Metazoa; Chordata; Aves; Anseriformes; Anatidae.